This 406-nucleotide ribosomal RNA is filed under the name uncultured bacterium. Its description in RNAcentral is "partial 16S ribosomal RNA". It matches the Rfam family "Bacterial small subunit ribosomal RNA", at positions 30 to 526 of the family's 1533-position model. The record is from RNAcentral.
AUUGAACGCUGGCGGCAGGCCUAACACAUGCAAGUCGAACGAGUGGCGGACGGGUGAGUAAUGUCUGGGAAACUGCCUGAUGGAGGGGGAUAACUACUGGAAACGGUAGCUAAUACCGCAUACCAUCAGAUGUGCCCAGAGGGGAUUGGCUUGUUGGGGGGGUAACGGCUCACCAAGGCGACUAUCCCUAGCUGGUCUGAGAGGAUGACCAGCCAGCCGUGAACGAGGCAACGGUCCAGACUCCUACGGGAGGCAGCAGUGGGGAAUAUUGCACAAUGGGCGCAAGCCUGAUGCAGCCAUGCCGCGUGUAUGAAGAAGGCCUACGGGUUGUAAAGUACUUUCAGCGGGGAGGCGUUACCCGCAGAAGAAGCACCGGCUAACUCCGUGCCAGCAGCCGCGGUAAUUC